Long non-coding RNA from Dermacentor andersoni, 923 nucleotides. RefSeq lists it as uncharacterized. NCBI's taxonomy places the organism in Eukaryota, Metazoa, Arthropoda, Arachnida, Ixodida, Ixodidae. The record is from RefSeq and is a predicted model, not a curated record.
GCUAAAACUAGUUUAUUGCGCUUCGAUGUCACGCGUUAUUUAACCUGGGGUGAAGUGACGUGUUUGCAAGCGGACAUGUAAGCCCGAAAGUUGGGUAUCGGUCGUGAGCCAUUCGGAACACGUCUGCAUCGAAACGGGAGCUGGAUUCUGGUGCGGCUGACAACGGCAAUAACGACAUGCAGUAAUGAGGAUGGCACCAGUAUAAAGCAACACACUCCACACACUAAACAGAAGCUGCUGCCUGCUACAACAAGGCCAUUGUGUGGACAUUGGCUGCUACUACAAGAGUCCAUCCCAAGCAUACCUUGGUCAUCACAGGAGCUCCUAUCCACACCAACAGAAAGGGGCUGGAGCUGAAUUUGCAAGGCUUUUACACCACGAACAAAGAAGCGCAUGCAGAAGAAUUUACAUGAGAUAUCAAGUCUGCAGAGCACUGUGUCAAGACUGAAAAGAGCUUCAGCCACCAUUCCACCAGCGCGGACAAAUUGGCUGAGUCAUCCAGGUAACUCAAAAAGGACUUUAUGGAAAUUCUUCGUCUUCAGAUGCGCCUGCAACUUCUGAUCAAGCACGGACGACGCUGGCCAAAAGAGUUCCAUCAGUUUGCCCUUAAUCAGCUUCCUGGCCAUGUCAAUUCCAUUUGUGCUAAGUGUAAUUUUUCUUCUAAAAAUGCAAGCUUUUUCAUUGCCCAUUCUCGUUAGAGAUCAUUCAUCCUCAUCCAAACAUAAAGGUCAACCGAUUCUUCACUGAUACUUAAUACCAGUCACUGUCUAGUAGCAUAACAUAUCUGUAGCAGUACCUUUUAGUGCAUGUUGUCAUGCACGAUUCCUCUCCUGAAAUAGCUGAUGCAACAUCGACAUGUUUCUUGCAUUAACCUACGCACUGUUUGCUAUGCACCAUUUUACUUUUCUUGAUGUUUUUGGCUU